Molecule: ribosomal RNA, 377 nt
Filed under: uncultured eukaryote
Lineage: Eukaryota
Description: partial 18S ribosomal RNA
Rfam family: Eukaryotic small subunit ribosomal RNA
Source: RNAcentral
UAAUAGCGUAUAUUAAAGUUGCUGCAGUUAAAAAGCUCGUAGUUGGAUUUCGGGUGGGAAUGGCCGGUCCGCCGUUUCGGUGUGCACUUGCUACGCCCACCUUGCUGCCGGGGACGUGCUCUUGAGUUCACGCUCGGGACACGGAGUCGGCGAGGUUACUUUGAGUAAAUUAGAGUGUUCAAAGCAGGCCUACGCUCUGAAUACAUUAGCAUGGAAUAACACGAUAGGACUCUGGCCUAUCUUGUUGGUCUGUAGGACCGGAGUAAUGAUUAAGAGGGACAGUCGGGGGCAUUCGUAUUUCAUUGUCAGAGGUGAAAUUCUUGGAUUUAUGAAAGACGAACUACUGCGAAAGCAUUUGCCAAGGAUGUUUUCAUUAA